CAGUUGGACCCAGUUCAUCCAGCAGCUGUCUGGACUCUGGCUGUGGAGACACACAACAGCCAGGAACAUUUCACACAGGGAAAAUACAAACAGGGGGAAGAAAAUCUCACCAAAAUUAGUCUGACUGCCAUCCUGCCCAUCUGUGACUUCUGUUCCAGCACUCAGGUAA
Long non-coding RNA from Vidua chalybeata, 169 nucleotides. RefSeq lists it as uncharacterized. NCBI's taxonomy places the organism in Eukaryota, Metazoa, Chordata, Aves, Passeriformes, Viduidae. The transcript is spliced from 2 exons. The record is from RefSeq and is a predicted model, not a curated record.